CGUAGGGUGCAAGCGUUGUCCGGAUUUAUUGGGUUUAAAGGGUGCGUAGGCGGCCCUGUAAGUCAGUGGUGAAAUACUCCAGCUUAACUGGAGGGGUGCCAUUGAUACUGCAGGGCUUGAGUUAAGUUGAAGUUGGCGGAAUUGACGGUGUAGCGGUGAAAUGCUUAGAUAUCGUCAAGAACACCGGUAGUGAAGACAGCUAACUAAACUUUUACUGACGCUGAGGCACGAAAGUGUGGGGAUCAAACAGGAUUAGAUACCCUGGUAGUCCACACUGUAAACGUUGAUUACUCGCUGUGUGCGAUAUACAGUACGCGGCCAAGCGAAAGCGAUAAGUAAUCCACCUGGGGAGUACGCCGGCAACGGUG
This 368-nucleotide ribosomal RNA is filed under the name uncultured organism. Its description in RNAcentral is "bacterial SSU rRNA". It matches the Rfam family "Bacterial small subunit ribosomal RNA", at positions 526 to 896 of the family's 1533-position model. The record is from RNAcentral.